Molecule: transfer RNA, 69 nt
Filed under: Allacta transversa
Lineage: Eukaryota; Metazoa; Arthropoda; Insecta; Blattodea; Pseudophyllodromiidae
Description: tRNA-Asn
Source: RNAcentral
UUAACUGAAACCAAAUAGAGGUAUAUUACUGUUAAUAAUAAAAUUGAAUAAAUUAAUAUUCCAGUUAAG